This 462-nucleotide ribosomal RNA is filed under the name uncultured bacterium. RNAcentral describes it as "bacterial SSU rRNA". It matches the Rfam family "Bacterial small subunit ribosomal RNA", at positions 8 to 507 of the family's 1533-position model. The record is from RNAcentral.
AGAGUUUGAUCAUAGGCUCAGAACGAACGCUGGCGGCAUGCUUAACACAUGCAAGGUCGAACGGGCCCUUUCGGGGGCCAGUGGCGCACGGGUGAGUAACGCGUGGGAACCUGUCGUGAAGUGGGGAACAACCGCUGGAAACGGCGGCUAAUACCGCAUGAGCCCUGAGGGGCAAAGGCCGCAAGGCCGCUUUGCGAGGGGCCCGCGUCCGAUUAGCUAGUUGGUGGGGUAAUGGGCCUACCAAGGCUGCGAUCGGUAGCUGGUCUGAGAGGACGAUCAGCCACACUGGGACUGAGACACGGCCCAGACUCCUACGGGAGGCAGCAGUGGGGAAUAUUGGACAAUGGGCGAAAGCCUGAUCCAGCAAUGCCGCGUGAGUGAAGAAGGCCUUAGGGUUGUAAAGCUCUUUCGCCUGCGACGAUGAUGACGGUAGCAGGAGAAGAAGCCCCGGCUAAUUCCGUG